AGACCAUGAUGAGGGCAUUUCCUCAAUAGCUCCUUGAAUCUUUCCCAAGUUUCAGUUAAGGAUUCCCCGUCCCCUUAUGAGUAU
RNAcentral lists this small nucleolar RNA (84 nucleotides) under Helianthus annuus (common sunflower). Its description in RNAcentral is "Plant small nucleolar RNA R71". It matches the Rfam family "Plant small nucleolar RNA R71". From Rfam's summary of the family: R71 is a member of the C/D box family of snoRNAs containing the C (UGAUGA) and D (CUGA) box motifs. Multiple nearly identical copies of this snoRNA have been identified in Arabidopsis, and it is thought to function as a 2'-O-ribose methylation guide for 18S ribosomal RNA. The record is from RNAcentral. Lineage: Eukaryota; Viridiplantae; Streptophyta; Magnoliopsida; Asterales; Asteraceae.